RNAcentral lists this long non-coding RNA (690 nucleotides) under Mus musculus (house mouse). Its description in RNAcentral is "long non-coding RNA chr1:184442389-184443079". Lineage: Eukaryota; Metazoa; Chordata; Mammalia; Rodentia; Muridae. The record is from RNAcentral.
UUUGUCGCUACACAAACUCUCUCCUCCUGCAUCUGGAAGGUAUGACUUUACAUUUUGCACAGUCUGGGAGGAACAUCUGUCUGUAAACGGCUUAAAACAGCUUUAAUGUGUAAUAAAACUCCACUACAAGACUCUGCUACUGAGAAGAGACUCUAGAACAAGAAAGGGCAGUUUUGAAGGAGACAGAAAAAUGAAGCAAAACCUCCUGCUGGUGAGCCAGGUUCUCCUCAACUUCAGAAAACUCAAGAAACAAAUAUCAAUGCUCUGUGGGCUAGGGGAUGCUCAAAUGAACUAUCCAGAAAGACAGCCUGCCACACAGAUUUAUGAAGUAGCCAGUGUAGAAAGGGACAGGGCUGGCAUGAUUGGGGGUGGGGGUGGGACAGUGGGAUAAGAAAGACAGCUUUCCUUUUCUCUCCUGUCUUCUGACUGUAUGGGUGUACACAUUCACUUUUCUCUUCCAAAGUUUGUUAGGUAUGACACAAUAUGCUAACAUAACUUUGUGCAAAGGACACUUGUCUGGCAUUCAGACCCGCCAGGAAUUCAAGGCAUGAACUCUCAUCUAGCACAUUUCCAAGAUAACUACAUUUCCCAGCAGAACUUGCUUGUUCGAAGAAGUUGAUUCACUUUCGGAGCAGGUGGGACCCUCCCUCUCCAUCUGUGACCUGGUUUGUUUCUGGGCUAAAUUGUGGG